This 492-nucleotide ribosomal RNA is filed under the name uncultured bacterium. RNAcentral describes it as "partial 16S ribosomal RNA". It matches the Rfam family "Bacterial small subunit ribosomal RNA", at positions 29 to 507 of the family's 1533-position model. The record is from RNAcentral.
AGUGAACGCUGGCGGUAGGCCUAACACAUGCAAGUCGAACGGCAGCACAGCAAGAGCUUGCUCUUACGGGUGGCGAGUGGCGGACGGGUGAGGAAUACAUCGGAAUCUACUUUUUCGUGGGGGAUAACGUAGGGAAACUUACGCUAAUACCGCAUACGACCUACGGGUGAAAGCAGGGGAUCUUCGGACCUUGCGCGAUUGAAUGAGCCGAUGUCGGAUUAGCUAGUUGGCGGGGUAAAGGCCCACCAAGGCGACGAUCCGUAGCUGGUCUGAGAGGAUGAUCAGCCACACUGGAACUGAGACACGGUCCAGACUCCUACGGGAGGCAGCAGUGGGGAAUAUUGGACAAUGGGCGCAAGCCUGAUCCAGCCAUGCCGCGUGGGUGAAGAAGGCCUUCGGGUUGUAAAGCCCUUUUGUUGGGAAAGAAAAGCAGCAGGUUAAUACCCCGCUGUUCUGACGGUACCCAAAGAAUAAGCACCGGCUAACUUCGUG